AAGUGGCAGACCAGUCAUGAUCAGCCAGAAUCACAAGUAAAUUGUCACUCAUAUCUAUCCAAAGUGUUGUGUAAAGACAUGCAAGGAAGACAUGGUCCCGGAGUUUCAUCUAUGCAAGAAAAAAGACAUUUCCGAUUUAUUGAGAUUUCCCAUAAUUGACCUACACCACUAUAUAAACACAAGAGCAGACACAAAAUUAUUAAGCCACCACAGCUACACAACACAAGCAAUCUCUUAGUUUUGUUUAGAUCUCUUAUGUUUUAUAUUUGGUAAUAUAAGGGGGAAGAUCUCGCCUUUUGUAUUGCAUUAGAAGUUUCUUGAACCUUUUUCUAUUAAUCUUAUUGAAUAUGAGUUUAUCUGCUUUUGCUUUGGUUUUUAUAUCCAUGUGAAUAUGUGAUAGUAUAUAACUUGUUGGAACAAGGUAUUUUUAAGGAGGAUUACAUGGCUCGAUAAAUAAGUUAGGAGAUUAGAUUGGCGUUUUUGAUGAACAUAAUUUUUCAUCUUAUUCUUUUAUUUUAAUGCAUGUUACUUCUUUGAUAAUUUAUUAACUGAUUUUAGACCAUCAUUUCUUGCAUUCUACUUGACUAAUUAAUUGGAAAACUUAAUUGAGAUGGGCUUAAUGUAUGAGUUGUUAAGGAUAGUAUGAGUGGUGUAAAGGAGAAAGUCUGAGGAAAUCCGGUAUGUGCGAUAAAACAAGGGUUUGUCGGGGAAUAUAAGUUUUGUCAGAGAAAAUCAAGUAGUUCAGGUGAUUGCCGAGCUAAAUCCAAUUUUCACCGAUUUAAAUGAGUUUCACUCGAGUUAAAAUUAGUUUGUCCUUGAAUUUUGCUAAGUCUGAGUGGAAAUUUGGACAAAGUGUGUAUUUGGGGAGUUGAUCGGGAUUCAGACAAGUUUGGUCAAAAUCAGACAAGGUUGGUAAGCGGUUAUCGGAAAAUUUGAUACUCCAAGGAGAAAAGUUAAGCAAGAACAAUGAUGUUGUAGGAGUGCCAAGGAAAAAGUGUGUGAACGGUUCUCUGAUUUUAACCAAGUAGGUGUUUACGCGAGAACUAUUAAGCUCGAGAAAAAAUGACACACGUGAACAGUUUUAGUAAGGAAAACGGUUUCUGGGUUGUUUUCUUCGGGGAAAAUGAGGAGCGCCUAUUUAAGAAGGACUUCCAGCUCAUUUUUAUUUUUUGCAUGAGCAAGAAUUCUAAAAGAUUCAGACAGAAAUUUAGAAGAGAAAAUACCCCAGAGAAAUCAAUUGUAGCUGAGAGAAAUCUGAUUCUAGCCAAAGGAUUGAGAUUUUAUCUGAGCGUGUUAAGAAUCUAGCCGAGUGAUCAAGAGAACAUGUAUGGGCGAAUAGAGAAUCUGUUCUUACCGAAUCCGAGAAAAGUUAAGGUGAGUGUGUGACCUUGGCUAUUAGUUUGGGUUGUUUUCAUGCAUAUAUAUUUAGUUCUGAUUGCUUGCUUGUGAGCUUGUUUGCACCUGUUUGACUUAUCAUCGUUUAUAACCUGCUGGUUAUUGUGGUGACUGAUUAACCUUACCCGGCAAUCUAGAUCAUGCAUUGAGCUUGGGACUGAGAUGCUUGCUAAAGCAUGUUUGGUUGUGGAAGGAUCGAUUGGGUAAGCGUGCAUGCUUAUGCAUAGAUAGUUUUCUGUUGUGAUAAGCGUUAUCUUGACUAUGUGGUUGAUGUUUGUUUACAACUCUGUUCGGUGAGAUGGGAUGACCAUUCUUACUAAGCAAUUAUGUUGCUUAUACCUUCUUUUAUGGACGCAAGUGACAUGAAUGUCUGAUCAGCGUCCAUAGACUAAGACUGUGAAGGAAGAUAUGGUAGAAUGUUGGGUAGAAGCUCUAGUGUAGCAAUGUAUUAGCUUAUAUGCAAACUGAUUAUUGUACUAGAACCUCAUUUGUAAUACAAGUAUUUCUGUUUAAUUCACUUAUGUUCUGUAAAGACUUGUCUAUUUGAUCCAGUUCGCGAAAAUGUUAAGUCAAUCAAUAUAGAAAUUUAACUAAGUGUUGGCUAAAAAAUAAAUCUAAAUUAGAGUGCUACACUUAACUCCAUCGCUUGCUAAAGUGUAGUUAUAGAUUCUUCAGAGCAUAUCUGACCUGAUCUGAAAUAUUUCUUAUUUAUUCUUUCAAUUACAUGCAAGAGAUGAUUGAUUAGAUUGAUAGAUAGAGUUGAUCAUUGCCCCAAGAGUGGGCUAGUCAUAAAACAGUGUUUUGGAUUCUAGAACGAAUAGGUAUGGUUGCCACUAUGAACUUAACUUGAAUAAGUCCGUCCAUGAACCCCUAAAGAUUUCUUGAAUACCCAACUUUUUUAAUAUAUUGCCUUAAACCUUUUAAUUUAUUGAUUUUUUUUUUCGUGGAACAACCCUGAUCGACACACUUUAGAUUUUACAGAGGGAAAACUUUUGUCUUAGAUUCAUCUUUACUUUUGAGAGCUUUUGGGGAGACAAGUCUGAACUUUGUUCGUUUUGAGAGAAGAUUUCGAACCCCUGUUAUUUAUUCAGUGAUUUCUUAUUUGCAAUCUAUUCAUUCAUGUCUGUUGCUUCAAUAUUUAUGUCUGAGUAGUUAGCUUGUUAGGUUUAGGGUUCUCUAAAAGGAUUUCAUUGAAUGCUGGAUUGAUUUGCUAGUUAGGGUUCAUAAUCUGAUUAGUUCUUCACCAUAGGUUGAUCUUAAAGCUAAUUCUGCACUGAUCACUUAGAACUUAGAUCUUAGUUUAAUUGAUUGAUGCAAAAGUGUAAUUGAAUAAUCGUAGGGUGAGCAAAGUAGCUAUCCGCAAAGAAAUUUGGUUUAGAUACUUUGUCAACAUAUCGAACCUGCACUUAAGGCUAGUUUACAUCUUUAGGAUUUGCAAAGAAAUUUGGGAUUUUAGGAUUUAGACUUAGAUAAUUCUCGCAACGAAAUUUGGUUAAUUAUAAUUUCGUGAUUUGAGUUCAAGAACCGCGCUUAAUUUGAGUCCUGACUAAUUGAUUUAUCCACGUUCUCUGAUUUCCUGAGAAAUACCCUAGGCCUAAUCUUUGUCAAAUCGAGUUUUACGAACAUUUCUAUUGCGUUGCUGUUUUAAUUUCAUUAUUUCUGCUUACCGUAAUUCAAUUCUAAUAGGUUUAUUAAGCGAAUCUGUCGUCUCUGUGGUUCGAUCCCUACAUACUACAACUGCACAUCUGUGCUCUUGCAGAGUAGUUCUAGGAAUUAAACUUUGAGAAGAUCAUGCAGCUAGAUCAUUGUGUCCUAAAAUAAAACCCAACUCACGUCAUUAUACUAUACUAAUACUCUUCCUCAAAUGGGUACAUGUAGAUCUCAAAUGUCCCACUUACCAAGUAAAUAACCGAAUUUUUGUCACCCAAAUGCCUUAGUCAAAAUCUCAGCUAGUUAUUUAGUUGUCUUGACAUAAGAGGUAGCUACAAUACCGAUAGAUUCUAGCAACGUGAUCAUCCAUUUUUAUCUCACUGAGUAUAACAAUCAUAGUUCAAUACUCUAGUUCAACCCCGGCCCGAUAGAUACAAUAGGUUGUUUGUUAGUUGUCCAUGACACAAUCAUAUCACCAUAUUAUAAUAUAGUAAGUUAACGAUUGCCGACUUAAUGGGAAAAAGAUCCAGUCUAGGUGACAAUAAGAUGAAAGAGAAAGAUCAUUGAUAGAACUUAGCAUAAAACCUGGGCCAAGUGAGCUAUUCAAAUGCCGGAGUGUAACACCCGGUCCUGGGUUCCAAAGGAAAUCAGACUAAACCGGCAGUAUUAUCUAACCUAACCAAUAAUUUCUGAAUAAUUCUUUAAAUUUUAUUCCAAAUCAAACCAAAUCCAGUCUUACAAUAGAAAUGAAUAACUCGAAUAAAUCCGAAAAUAAGCAGAAAACAAUGUCUUAAAAAAACGAAAAAUAGUUCUUAAAGCAAUAAAAAUCUUUCUCCAUCUCUGAACGCACACCACACUAGAGCUACUCGUCUAGUUCCUCCUAGACAUCAUCACAAUCACAUUCAUCACACUCACCUGCAAUAUGAAUUUGAGAGAGAGGGAUGAGUAAUUUGGGAAAUUACUCAGUGAGAACCAAACCAGGCUCCCUUCCCACUAAUUUAUUUUCCACCAACAUGUCAAGAAUAAAUCCAACAAGCAACAAACAAGCAUCCUAGCGAUGCACAAACAACUAGCAAGCAAUUAUAAUGUCUCCAACCCGCCCAUCACACAAGGCCAUACCUCCCAGUCACACAGACUAGGACCACAUCUCCCAUGUCACACAGACAUAAUACCAGGCAGUCACACAGACAAGCCUCCAGUCAUAUAGACUCCGGAAGGAUCGGCGUACCUUCCCCCACCGUUGAACUACCACUUUAGUCACACAGACAACAAUAGCCCAGCAAACAAGUCCAUAACUCGGCACAUCAUCACCGAGAUGAACACCUGAUCUAACUACUCUACCAAUCACUAACCACACAACAGGGUGAACAAUCAAAUAUGCUGGCUCUUCCUCUAAUGAGAUCCUAAUUCAUUUCAUUAGACUCACACAUGUAUCUAGCUAGAUGCACAAGGAAACAUCCUAGGCUCAUCAGAUCUAGACUCCACACACCAGAAGAAGACAAAGGAAUAAGAAGAAGACCCUAGAUCUAAUCCUCACCUUGGCCUAAAAGCAGAUCUGACUUAAAGAGAACUGGUGGCAAAGGAAUCAAGGAGUUUUUGUGAAAGAGGAGGCUGACGACCACUCCUUCUCCUCUCAGACGGCGGCGGCGGCGGCUUCCCUUCUCUUCCUCGGUGGCGGCAAGCUUCCCUUCUUCUCUCUCUUUCUUUUUGCUUUGGUGGCUAGGGUUAAUAGAAUGAAAAUGAGGCUCCUCCUCAUUUAAUUCUUCACUGAAAUAUAAGGGAAAAUUAGGGUUUCUGGAGCGGGCCUGGUCUUGAUGGGCUUUUUCCAAUUGGGCUGGAAUUGGGAUGUUAAUUGAAAUGGAAAUCCUGCACCUUCCAACAAAAUUGGUACACUUUCAUGUACCCCAAUGGUCCUUACUUGUUCAUUCCCAGCAGUUUCCACUGCCUUAGACCUAGGAAUGAACCUCCCAGAAAAAGUCCAACACUUGAUCAACCUCGAGCUCACGAAGGUAUGAGUGGCACCAGUGUCGAACAAGGUAUAUGCAAUCGCGCUCCCUACUGAGACCGAUCCUACAUGAUUCAUACUUAUGUCUAGUUAUGCAUUUCCAUUCUACAUUCCUAUUCACAAGCAACAUAUAUAAUCACUCAAACAUUUACUUACCAGCGAUCGGUGCGGCUCCCUCAGGAUCUCCAAUGGUGAAGACACGAGGUCCAACAGCCUGCCUCUUAGCUGGUGGUGCUCCUGGUGCUGCUCCUCCUUCCUGCGGAACAAGCGGUGGAAUCUUGCAAUCUUUCUUGAAAUGACCUGAUCUGCCGCAGCGAUAACACUUGCCAACCCUUGCAGCGCUUGGGCUAUUCCUGCCUUGAUGACCCACUCCUCCAUAUCCGUAGCACUUAAUCACUCCACACGGUCCAGUGUGUCUCUUCCCACAACGCGGACACUCUAGAGCAUUCCCGUUGGCUCUCCCCACUGCCAUAUCAUCCCAGGUCUUCUUUGGUGCCUCCAGGGCACGGGGUGCUCGGCCUUGACCCUGCCUGGUCCUCCUCAGCUCAUCCAAAUUGGCUUCCUAAAUGGCAGCUGUCUCCACAAGUUCCACUAAUGUGGAGUACCUCCUGACAGAACAUCUGCUCCUCAACUCCAACUUCAAGCCUUCAUGAAUUGACGGACCAAGUCAGCCUGAGUGAAGUGCUUCCUGGAGAACCUCCUCAACCUGUUGAACUCCUUCUUGUACUCCCUCACAGUGAGGUUCUCCUGACGCAGGUCUUCAAAGGCACUCUCCAUCUGGUCCAAGGCUUCGGGUGGAAAAUACUCUUUACCAAACGCUUCCUUGAAAUCAUUGUACGUCAACUCAUACCGACCCUGAGUUGCUUCCAGCACACCAUCCACCAUCCCACCAUAUCAGCGCCUCCUCCUUUAGAUACUGCACGGCUAAGUCCUUCCGGUAACCAUCCGGACAUCUCAUGGCAUCAAAAUUCCUCUCCAACCUCUUCCUCUUGUUAUCUGCAGACACUGGGUCAGACCUCCCACCAAAAGCUUCCAUUCCCAUAUCAUUCAGGUGUUUCAUGGCCUGAUAAUAUGUCAGCCCAAAUAUAUUGACGCAGGAGGCGGAGGCACAUACUGCUGCUGAACAAACACUAGCAGCGGCACAUUCUGAGGUUGAACAAACACUGGCGGCACAACCACAGGCGGCGGCUCAUGCACUAGCGGCGGGGGCACAUUCUGCUGAUGCUCCUGCUGCUGCUGAGCAUUCACACCUACUCCCUGGUUCAAGUGACCAUACAUCUCCCGAUAGCGUUGCAGCUCCUCCAAGACUGCAGCAUGAGCUGCUUCUGCUGCGGCUGUAGGCACUUGAACAGGUACAUCUCUCAGGAUUUCCAGCCUGCUGGUUCACUGAAAUUCGGUUCACACUUCCUGUCGUAUCAGUGGUCUCCUCAUCCCCACUUGAACGACGAGCUUGGGAUCUGGUGCACACAUUUCUGGCUUUCGGAGGCAUCUACAUCGCACAACACGAGAAAACAGACAAUAACUAGAGAAGCUGAUCUAGGUAGAUGCCUCCUAAACCCUGCAAAUAAAUUAAACAAACAAUAACUAGAGAAGCUGAUCUAGGUAGUGGUUUUCUUUGUUUGAACCAUUUGAAAAAUCUUUGAACUUUGAAAACUCUUAAAAACCAUAUAUAUAUAUAUAUAUAUAUAUUUUUUAAAAUCCAAUUUUUUUUUAAUCCUGAAAAAUUCAAUUUUUUUUUGGAAAACUCGGAAAUAUUUGAAAACUUUUUUUUUAAAUAUAUUCAUUUUUUUUAGAAUCUAAUUCCCAAUUCCACUACUCUAGACUAGACUCUCUCUCUAUUUCUAACUCGAACCUAGGUUCUAAUACCAAUUGUAACAUCCCGUCCUGGGUUCAAAAAAAAACCAGACUAAACCGGCAGUAUUAUCUAAUCUAACCAAUAAUUCCUGAACAAUUCUUUAAAUCUUAUUCCAAAUCAAACCAAAUCCAGUCUUACAACAGAAAUGAAUAACUCGAAUAAAUCCGAAAAUAAGCAGAAAACAAUAUCUUAAAAGAAAAUACGAAAAAUAGUUUUUAAAGCAAUAAAAAUCUUCCUCCAUCUCUGAAGGCACACCACACUAGAGCUUGUCUAUUUCCUCUCAGACAUCAUCACAAUCACAUUCAUCACACUCACCUGCAAUAUGGAUUUGAGAGAGAAGGGUGAGUAAUUUGGGAAAUUACUCAGUGAGAACCAAACCAGGCUCCCUUUCCACUCAUUUAUUUUCCACCAACAUGUCAAGAAUAAAUCCAACAAGCAACACACAAGCAUCCUAGCGAUGCACAAACAACUAGCAAGCAAUUAUGAUGUCUCCAACCCGCCCUUCACACAAGGCCAUACCUCCCAGUCACACAGACUAGGACCACAUCUCCCAUAUCACACAGACAUAAUACCAGGCAGUCACACAGACAAGCCUCUAGUCAUAUAGACUCCAGAAGGAUCGACGUACCUUCCCCCACCGUUGAACUACCGCUUUAGUCACACAAACAGCAAUAGCCCAGCAAACAAGUCCAUAACUCGGCACAUCAUCACCGAGAUGAACACCUGAUCUAACUAUUUUACCAAUCACUAACCACACAAUAGGGUGAAAAAUCAAAUAUGUUGGCUCUUCCUCUAAUGAGAUCCUAAUUCAUUUCAUUAGACUCACACAUGGAUCUAACUAGAUGCACAAGAAAUCAUCCUAGGCUCAUUUGAUCUAGACUCCACACACCAGAAGAAGACAAAGGAAUAAGAAGAAGACCCUAGAUCUAAUCCUCACAUUGGCCUAAAAGCAGAUCUGACUUAAGGAGAACUGGU
Molecule: long non-coding RNA, 7880 nt
Filed under: Eutrema salsugineum
Lineage: Eukaryota; Viridiplantae; Streptophyta; Magnoliopsida; Brassicales; Brassicaceae
Description: long non-coding RNA (ESAL_LNC001505)
Source: RNAcentral